Long non-coding RNA from Choloepus didactylus (southern two-toed sloth), 756 nucleotides. RefSeq lists it as uncharacterized. Lineage: Eukaryota; Metazoa; Chordata; Mammalia; Pilosa; Megalonychidae. The transcript has 3 exons. The record is from RefSeq and is a predicted model, not a curated record.
AACAAAAGUGAGAGUCAGACAAGUAAGUACCUUGCCCAGGCUACUAUCAGAUGAAGGCAGUACCUGAUGUGUUUUUAAGUAUGGAGCGCCACUCAAUGGGCCAAGGACAACAGUGAACUUCAUGUUCAUGAAGUGAGAUAAUAACAACUAAAAGAUAACUUCGUCUUCAUCAUCAAGAAAAUUGAGAUCAUCAAGUGCGGAGUACUUCAAAUUACUAGCAUCAUCUGCAUUCUUGGAGACAAAAACCUGCUUGUUCUUGUCUUUCUACAUGUUCUUUUUGGGUUAUCUCAUCCUUUUCUCUGUUUGCUGAUGACUCUCAAAUUGGUGUCUCCUGCCCUGCCUUCUCCUGUCGGGAAACGCAUACCUGUAUCUGCCUGCUGGACACGUGUACCUGGACACAUACUCUAUAUUCACCAUUUCCUUCCUAGACUGUUUCUCUUCUGAACUCCCUCAUCUCACUGGAACCACCACUCCUUCAAGGAUCCAAGAGACAACCUGGUGGUAAACCUAAACUUUUCCCUCUUUACACUCCACACAUCCACAAGUCAUCAGGUGCUAAUUAUUUUACUUUCUAAAUAUCACUCAAUUCCAUCCCGCUUGGUUUAGCUUAGCUGUACUUUACUCAGACCCUCAUAACUUUUCCCCUGGACUCUUAUAAGGGUUCUCAAUGACUCCCCAUUGUCUAAAAAUAAUGUCCAUGCUUCCUUGUAUGAUACUUGAGACUGUUCACAGCCUCCCUCUCCACCGUCACCUGCC